CUUAAAGAGCCCCCCCCACCAGUGCUGGACCACCGGACCACCCUCAUGUCCGGACCAGUUCGGAGGCCUUCAGAAUGGCCUCCGGACCGGUCUGGGCUCAUCCCUAUUGUCUGCAGUUCUGGCCACCAUAUCUUAAGAAGGACAUUGUAGAACCAGAAAAAGUGAAGAAGAAGGCAACCAAAUGAUCAGGAGCCUGAAGCACCUUCCUUAUGAGGCAAGGCUACAGCAUCUUGGGCUUUCUAGCCUGGAGAAGAGGCGACUACAGGGAGACAUGAUCGAGGUGUAUAAAAUUAUGCCUGGAAUAGAGAGAAUGGAAAGAGAAUUUUUUUCUCCCUCUCUCACAACACUAUAACCUGGGGUUAUCCCAUGAAACUGAAGGCCGAGAUAUUUAGGACCAACAAAAGUACUUUCCCACAGAGUGCAUAAUUGAUAAAUAGAAUUCUCUGCCAUGGGAUGUGGUGAUGGCCACUGGCUUGGAUGGCUUUAAAAGGGGCUUAGACAAAUUCAUGGAGAACAGGUCUAUCAAUGGCUACUAGUCUGGUGGCUAUUGGCCAAUCCCAGCCUCAGAGGCAAGAUGCCUCUAAAAACCAGUUGCAGUGGAGAAACAGUAGGAGACAGGGCAUGCCCUCAACUCUUGCCCGUGGGCUUCUCAGAGGCAGCUGGUGUACCACUGUGUGAAACAGGAUGCUGGACUAGAUAGGCCUUGGACCUGAUCCAGCAGGGCUGUUCUUUUGUUCUUAUCCUCUCCUGCUUUGUGUGCAGUAAUAAUUUUGGUCCCUGGAAUUACAGCAGGCUAGUGCUUUUGAAGCAUUCUUAGAGUUUUAUAUGAACAGUUGUCUCCCACUCUGGCCAUACUGCAACAUGCGCCAGCUUGACCUGCAUCGCACAGCUAGUGUAGCAUAUGGUUAGUGCCGUGGAAAUAGUUUCUAUGUGUGAGUAAGGAAAGUACUGUUAAUGUGAAUAGGAGAGCUUCUCUAAAGAGACACUGGUCUGUCCCCAUUCCUCCUUAACAAUACAGCAGGACCAUUGUUUGAAACUGAGUCUGCUUCAGUCACAUAUAAGGUGCCCCCCAUUUUAAGAGUAAACAGUGGUAGUGUGAAUGAGGGGAACUGAAUUUUCCCCCUUCCUGCAGUUUACCUCUCUGCAAUCCUUUACUCCCAGCCAGCCAAUACCAAAAGUGAGUGGAAAGUAAAGUGCCUGGGAGGACAGGAAUGCAGGAAGGCAAGCCAUAGGAGGCUUCCUGUAUUUAUGAAUGUGCUCCUUGUGCUCUUAAAAAAACUCCCAUCUUCCAUUCUACUUGUGAUUGGGGCAAACUUUGGUUUAAACAAAUAGGUCUGCCAUUGUCCUACGUAGUUUGAGCCAGUGAGCUGAUUCUGUUCAUAUCCUUUCCCAAUAAUUAAAAUAAGGGAAAUUAUGUUCUCAGAAGCAUAUAUUGCAUUGAAAAGGGGGCAUUUCCAUGUUGUUUUAUAGGUGCUGCCCUCAUAAACACAAAGUAAUCUUAACUAACUAAAAAUUUAUUCAGAAACAAUAUCUUUCUCCUUUCCCUCUGCUUUCCUUUUCUGACUCCACCCCCACACUCUGUGGAGGAUCCCAGCUGGGACAAACUUCUCAACAAAACACAAAGGAUUACUAGAUAGAACAUAUCCCGCCCCUUUAUAACAACAAGAAUUGGAUUAAUUUAAAUUCAACUUCAUUGACAGUCUUUUAGGUGGUCCCCUGCCACACACACUUCUAAUUCUUGGGUUCUCUGGCAAAGGAGCUGUUAGUGAUGUUUCCCCCCCGGUACCUAGGAUUGUCCAUCACUUUACUCGAACGGAGCCCCCCCACCAUCUGUUUGCUGUUUCACAUCCUAUUUCUGAUACACAUAAAAUUUGUAUGAUUGUUGCUGCUCCCUUACCUGAUCACGAAUCUCUGCAUUGGCAGGAUGAGAUGGCAUGGAAAGCCCUAUCAGUUGUUGCCAUAGGGUACGUUUGGUGGUAGCUUUCCUCUCAGCAGUUCUUUCCUCUUUCCUCUCAGCAGUUCAAAAGGUGAUUUUCCUGUAGCAGAAUGAGGAGUGAUUCAAUAAGCAAAUAGAGUUUCACGGAUCACGUUUUUCAAGGGCUGUUGUUGCAUAGUAGACAGUUGUAAACUUUCUUUCGCUGACCUGAAAAAAGUUCAUGAAUGAAAGAAGUUCAAUCUUUCCACUAAGCCGUUCCCUCGAGUAUGGUGUUUUAUCCCACGGCUUUGCAAGUAUUACUCCAUUUCAAAUGCGGUAAGCUGUGUCCCAUUGACGAGCAGUCAGUCUGCUCCGGAUGGCCGCAGUGGCCACCCACACAACUGCUGGCUCCAUCACAGAGCUGGUGGGGACUGGGGAGUUUGGGGGCCGCGCGCCCCCCGGAGGCUCCAGCAUGCCCUGCGUGAGCACGCAGGGCAUGCUGGAGAGACCCCUGAGCUGGGAGGCUGCUUUUCAGCCUCCUGGUCGGGGGUCUCCUUGUGAGUUGCUGCGGUGUGGAGCCCUGCCGCGGCAACUCACGAGAAAAAAAACGGGUUUGUGGAGCACUCGCUCCACAAACCCGGUUUAAGGGGAGGGGUAGUUUGGCAGGUUAACCGCCUGGCGGAUUUCGGUGGACCGUGUGAAUAGCCUCACUAUCUCUUUAAGAAGACCUUCUUUUGCAAAAACUGCAGCCAUGAACUGGAUCACCUUGACUAUAGUAAUAUUGCCAGCAAAUGAAACUUCUAGCUACUUGGAAUAGUAAUCCAUUAUCACUAUAACAAAUCUUAAUUUUGUGUGUGUGGGGGGGGUUAAAUCAAAAGGCCCCAUUAUUAUCCAGAGCAUUUUUCCCCAGGGACCAUUGGGAUACUCUACUGGAGUCAAGAGGGUGCUAAAAAUCUUCUGCAAUUCGUCACAUACAACACAAGCCAUACAGUGCCUGAUUACAUUUUCAGUAUAAUACCUGGCCACCAAAUACACUCUAUGAUUUGCCUUUUAGUCAUACUCAUGCCCAGGUGACCUUCGUGGGCAAUUUGAUCACUUUUGCUUGUAAAGUGUUGGCACCACCAAAUGAUCAGUCAGCACCAGCUCAUUGAGAAGGGACAGCUUGCUUGCUACAUAUAUGUAUGGCUGAAGGUGUUCAGGUACCUUGUUUUUCCAUGGCCAUCCAUUAGUUAUGUAAGAUUUAAGUUCAGUAAGCACUUGAUCAGCACUGAAGGCCACUUUCCAUUCAGAAGAUGUGAUCACUCCAAGAGUGCAUGAAGCUAUUUGUACAAUUAAUAAUCCUUCAUCCUUGUCAUCUGGGAUCUCCUCUUGGCCUUGAAAUGGAAGUUGAGAUAAACAAUCUGCAGUUGUAUUCUGAAGACCUGGAAGAUAUUCCACCUGGAAAUCAAAAUCCAUAAGUCUGGUGAUCCACUUGGCUAUUCUUGGGGUUGCUCAACUUGAUCUCCAAGUAGUAAAUAAAGCAGACAGGGUUUAUGGUCGACCAUAAUUUUCUGCCCCACAAGUAAGUCUGGACGUGCCUCAUUGCUCAGAAACACACCUGAGCUUCUUUUUCAAGGAGAGAAUGCAUCUUCUCUGAUGUAGUAAGCACGCUGGAAGCAAAAGCAACUGUAACUUCCCUGUCCCCCUUUUGCUGGGUCAAAACAGCACCCAAGUCAUAUUCAGAAGGAUAACAAUACAAUCAUUAUUGUAAUGACUGAAGCAUCAGGAGUACCAUAGGUUGGGAACACCUGCCUUAUGGAGUGACCAACAAAUAAAAUUAUUAUUUUAUUAGUUAUUCAUAUCGUCCUGAUUCUGAUUUAGAGGACAGGAUGUGCUGCUUCAGUACACAUACGCAGGCUGAAUCAUCCUGCACUGAGUCACCCAUGUGGACUAGACUGUGUAAUAUAUGCAUGACAGGCUUCAUGCUGACACUGAGCUCCUCUAGAUUGGAGCAGGCAGAAUCCUGCUUUUCUGGCAGGAUCAAUAGAUUAAUCCAGAGUGGGUGUUGGCUAUAUACAUAUGCCUGUUUCUUCCACUGCCUUUGGGCACUUUUUUUGUGUCUCCAUGUGCACCCCUGCCAUUGUGCAAUCUGGGCCAGUACUAGCUCUUUCACUGGCAGCCCCGGCCCCGGCCCUGGCUUGCCUCUCUUGGUCUCUGUCUUGGUGAUGGCAGGAAGAUAAGAGAGAGAGAGUGAGAGAGCAUAAAUGAGUGGGUGCCACGGGAAGUGGUGGUGGCAGGAGGAGGACAAUGGUGAAGAGAAAGAGAAAGAGAUUUGGGAGCAUGGCCUCAGCAGGAGAAGAGGAAGAGGAGGGAGAGGAAGAGAGAGAGAGCGCAAGAGAGAGAGAGCACUUUAGGCGGCCAUGGCAGAAGUGGUUGAGGGGCUAGAAGUGAGAGGAGGAGAGGAGCAAACCCACCCCUCCUGCUCACCUACACUUCCUACAGAAACCUGGUCCUAAGUGUCUACAUGCUGAAAUGUAAUGUUCACAGGAGCUACUCACGCAUCCAACACAGCAAAAACUAGGAUUUUCUUCUUCUUCUAACUUUUCCAUGAAUUUGAAGGCUAUUUGUGGUGUGAAAAUAUGGAAUGGCCAUACCUCAUUUAUAUUGCCAGCAACAUCCCCUGUGGAAAUCAACAUUCAAGGUGGCACAAAUUCCCGUUUAGACAUGCCCAGUAUGGGAGGGAAAGGUACGUGGGAUGUGUUCACAAACUUCACACUUGCAUAUCUACCACAUCAAGUACAAUAUAUGUUCAACUGAAGCAACUGAUACAUUCAGGUAAAAUUUAUUUGCCCUAUUCAGACAUAGCCCUUCACGUGUUCUUGAACAUGAGAGGGGAAAGACAGAUUGUGCCUGCUAUCUCUUACCUCUGGGUAGAAAGUUUGAAAAGUACUAUGCUUGCAAACUCUCCUUAUGUUUGGGAAUCCCAAUCAUGUAAGAUAUUUGGUUGCAUGGAAACUCCAAUGAGCAUAUAGUUCUAUAUGCAUAAGCUUCCCUUUCAGACUUUCACUUCAAGGAAAGAGGCCAGCAUAGCUGAGCAUGCUGAUGUCAGGGCCAUGGCCCAUGGAGAGGGGAAUAGGAAGAAUAGUCCCUCCUGCAUCCUGUCCUUGUGGCAGCCCUCUUACCAGCCACGCCCUCUGUGUCGAUGUCAGAUGCAAGUCAACACAGGGGGUAUAACUGGCAUUGGGCUUGGCGGUUCCACUGGUAUUCUUUCCCAGCUGGCAAACAAUGCUUGCUGGCUGGAAAUGACUGACCAGUGGCACUUCUAGGUCCAAUGCCAGUCAUGGCUACUGUAUUGACAUUCUGCUGUUGAUGCAGGGGGAGUGGCCAACAUUGACCCUGGAAGCAUCACCCAUGUGAGUGUUGGGGUGCAGGAGCAAGAGGGUACCCUGUGGGGCAAAGGGAUGCUGUGGCAGUCCCUGGAUGGCCCAGGGAUAUCCCCCCACCUUGGUGGUUAUGCCACUGCCAAUGGACAAUCUUGUUCCUCCUCCAUGUGUUAACUGAAUUCAUUGAAGGUGAAGUCGUGAAUAGGGAUAUUGAGUGAUACAUCAACAUGUGAUGAGAGAUCAAGUGCUGUGCAUGCCAUGCAUGACAGUGCAAUCCUAUGCAUGUUUACUCAGAAGUAAUCCCUACUGUAUUCAGUGGGUCUUAUUCCAGAUAAGUGUGCAUAGGAUUGCAGCCUAAAUCAAUGUUGUAUUCAGUGGGUUUUACUCCCAGAUAGGUGUGCAUAGGAUUGUAGCGUAAAUCAAUGCUGAGAUUUCCUGGAACAUUUGCUGCACUUUUACCUGCAGGUUCCUUGACAUGCUGUUAGUUUAUGAGCCAUCUGGACAAAAAAGGUAUCAUUUCCAUGUUUUGCACUGCACUUUAGAUGUUUACUAUAAUAAUAAUAUUAAUAAUUGAAAUUUAAAGAAACUGAACACCAAUCUGGAGUUAUACAUUUUCCUCAGACCUGGACAUAACUUGGUACAGCCAGGACUGGAUUACUCUGAGUAGAAAAAGAAGUAAGCUGAAAUAUGAUACUUGGUAGAAAUGCAUGUGAACCUCUUUCUUUCUUUCUUUCUUUCUUUCUUUCUUUCUUUCUUUCUUUCUUUCUUUCUUUCUUUCUAAAACUAUCCCUCUUUUCCAUCCCAACGAUGGAUGGUCAAAGCUAAUGGAUACUCAGACCAACUAUACACACGUUGGUUCAGCCUCACCCCCUUGGGGAAGAUGAGGCUGUUUUGAAUUUUUAACAUACAUUGGAGUAGGCUUCAACUCUCUGUCUCUAUUUUCUGGAUUCUGUCCCUAGUAAAUCACAGUGCCAAUUUUGUCCCCAUGUUUGCCUCUUUGGUGUACCUUUUUCACACCCCCACCCCAAUGUGUUGCUAGAGUCCUCUGGAUUCUUAAGGAGUCAACUCCCUCCUCAGAGUCUGUAGAAGUAACAUCUCCAAAUGUGUGGAUGGAUGCAUUCUAUCUCUAGUGCACCUGCAUGUUGAUGGGUGCACUGUACUAAGGCACUAUGCAGCGCACAACAUAAAGUGGGCCAGUCUUCAGCAGUGUAUAAUCAUGCAGGGUGGUCUUGAGCAGUAAUCCUUAGGAUGAAAAUUGUUGUAAUUAUUUUCAUUUGCAAAAUGUUGGAGGGUAUGGGCUUGGCUCAUCUACUACUACCACUGUGACGAAGAAGAAUAUUUUAAAACCACUUUUCAACAAAAGUAGAGAUGUGCAAAUUGAUUUGAAUUCAAAUUGAUUCAGCUCAAAUCUGGGUGAUUCGAGUGAUUUGAAUUCAAAUCAAAUCACCCCUUAAAAGGGUAAUUCGAUUUGAACUGAAUUUUCAAAAUUUGAUUCAAAUUUGAUUCGAGAGCUGUUUGGCACCUUUUGCAAACCAUUCAGGCCCCCUGAUUGGUUUAAAAAGGUGCAAAGACAGGUUUAAAUUUCAUUCAAAUGUGAUUCACAUUUUGGCACCAGAUUUGAAUUUGAUUCAAAUUUGAAAUGAAUUUUUGGAAUUCGAUUCAAAUUUAAAAGAAAUGGAAAGAUUCAUUUCGUCCACGUCUCUGAACAAAAGUUAUUGAAGCGGUUUACAUAGAGGGAAAAAAAUACAUAAAUAAAGAUAGAUCCCUGUCCCCAAAGGGCUCACAAUCUAAAAAGAAACAUAAGAUAGUAACAACCACUGGAGGGAUGCUGUGCUGGGGUUGGUUAGGACCAGUUGCUUUCCCCCUGCUCAAUAAAGACAAUUGCCACUUUUAAUAGGAGCCUCUUUGCUCAGUUAGAUUACUGCUUUGGUAAUCUGGAAUAAUGUGCUCUGCAUGCACUUUAUUAGCUGCUUUUCCUUUGUGGUAUGUUUGUAGUCCAUUUACAAUUUAGGUAAAUAAAUCUAUGAACUGUAUGUCCUUUCAGGUUGCUUCAUCAUAUCCCUUACACAUUCAUAGGCAUGUCUCCAUUUUCACUGGUGAAAUAGUGGAGGGUAUGCAUUGGGGGCAUGCUUCAUGCAUCAGAGUGCAAAGUUUGACCCUAAGGUUCUCCUCUCAAAUAGGGAACUAGUUUUAAAAACACAUAUUUUAAUGCACCUGAGAUUUUUUUUAAGUGUAUACCCAAUGUGUGACAGUGACAAACAGGUGUCUUAAAACAUGUGCAGCAUGUGGAUACAUUCAUCAGUGUUCCAGGAUUACCUUUUGACUGUAUAUUUAUUUGAAAAGCUAAGAUUGCUGCUCUGUAGUGUUUGAAGUGGCUCUUGCUUCUUUCCAGCAUCACACAUUUUAUACGUGCUUCUUAAGAUGCAUCCCUUAAGUUGCAUUGCAAGAAUAAACACUAUUUUAGCACAAAGGUACACAUCUGAUACAUCUCAGCAUGUGGUUUUUGUAGUACAAUUGGUCUGCAGUCCUUCUUGAGAGGUUCUGAUUUCUGAUGUAGAUGUGGUUGAAACAUCAUGGAGAGCGAAUGUUCCUUUAGACCUGCACCCCAUACGAAUGUGGUACACAUGAUCGUGACUGCUGACUAUGUGCCUUUUCAAGCAUCUAUGAUGAUUAAUGUGGCUGUAAACCACCAACAGAAGAAAUGAUAAAGAGCAGCACUAGGAAGCUGCAGAUAGAUAGCUGUGUUUGAUGGUUUUAAAAAGUCACAGCACCUAUAAGCUAAACUAGAUUUUCCAUGAGAUUAGUCCCUUGUGCCCUAAAUUUUGUAGACAUGUCAGACUGGAAAUAGCAGGGGUUAAGUAUUUUUACAAGAUCUAGUCUUUUCUAAGACCUUUUACUGCUAGCCCUGGCAUUCAGGACCACUUUCACAGACAUGGACAUCUCCAUUUUUAAAAUUUAAUUUCUAAUUUUAUUUUUACAUUUAUAUCCUGCUCUUCCUCCAAGGAGCCCAGAGCAUUGUACAUGGUUUUAUGUUUAUCCUCAGUACAACCCUGUGAGAUAGGUUAGGUUGAGAGAUGAAUGACUGGUCCAUGCAGUCUGCUUGCACUCUGGAAAGAUAUUCACUUUCAGUUUUCUCCAUAGAUUCCCUGCCAAGGUUCUUGAUGCACUCUUAUUUGGACUGAAUGAAGACUGCUGUAUAAAUGUUUAGGUUCAAAUAAAGCCCCAACUCUGAACAUCCAGGAAUCAACCUCAUUUUGUUUCUUUCUCUCAUUUAUUUCUUCAAGACAUUGUCAUGUUAUAUACAGUAUAUUUCUCUGGAGGCAGGACUAAUUAGAACUGAGCCCAAAAUAUGGUUAUCUAUUUUUAAUGAUUGGCUUAAUUUAUUCUUCUUAAUUUACCUUUCUGGCUUAGCCCCUCUCACAUUAGUGGAUGACUUUCAGACUUGAUGGAGACAGUUCUUGGAAGUGAAAUUCUUAUCCUAUGGACUAUCCCUGGAUUUUUUGUCACCUCUAGGAUAUGUUUAGGUUAAAAUGGUUCUUAAACAGCAUAUUUUGGAUACUGAGCACCAGGCUGAUUUGGGCUUGGUGGCCAAUUUUAUUAUCCUAGGGAGAAUAUGGCAUGUUGUGUGACCUGCUGAUUAUCUUAAACAGUUAGUUGUCUCUAGUCAUAGGAUGGCAUUUACAAUCACUCACUAUAAUGUGCUCCCUUCAGCAGUGAUGAAAAGAAGAUUAGAUUCUCUAUCAGAACUAUUUUUUUUCAUCUGUGUACAAAAUGAAUUUUGUUCUGGGUGGCGGUAUCAAGGCAGUGUGCGUGCAUGUGCAUUCAGAGUGGAGUGAGCCAUCCUGAUUCAACCUGAGCGGGAUCUAAAAUUAAUUGAGUGGACAUCAAAAAACUUGUGUAUGCAUACACAUGCACAUGCCUUGGAGGGAACACUGAAGAAUGUAUGUGCCUUUGUAAUUUGGAAGCCAUAGAGACUUUGGAUCAUGUCUUUCUUUAUUGUAGGUUUUGUCAUGAUAUUCAUAACACUCUUAUACUCCUUUUAAAAUUCUGACACAUUUCUGCUCUCUGAUCAGAAUUUUGCUAUUACUUACAAUGUUACUAAGUUUUGGGCAGUGGUGUGAAAAAUCUGAUGAGAGUUUGUUAAUGUCAAUGAGCUUUAAACUGUUCACUAUUAGAUAGUCUAAUAUUUAAAUUUAAUUGUUAGUGCUUAUGUUAUUCAACUUAGAUCCACAUUUAUGUAUUCUUAUCAUGCUGUUUAUUAUUUGCACUGAACUAUAUUGUAGGUUGUAUUGAUACUUAACUUAUCUAUCUAUCUAUCUAUCUAUCUAUCUAUCUAUCUAUCUAUCUAUCUUCUUGCCUAGAAGAAUGCUCCUGUCUCUGUACUUUGAAUUAGGGAUGUGCAUGGAACCGGUUCUGUCCAUUGUGUCAUUGUGCACCCCUGCAUUCGAACCGAUUUGGACACUGGUCGACGGAACUGGUUUGGUGCUCCAGAAAAGGAGCUCCAGACCAGUUCCGUGCACAUCCCUACUUUGCAUGCCUUUCAAUUAUUUCAUUUUAUAUUCAUCUCUCUUGGCUCCAACCUGCUUUGACCUCCAGAUUCAAUCUAAUAAAUGCUUCAGUUGUGCAGAAAGGUUGACUUUGUUCCAUCAGGUUCAACAUAAUGCCAGCCACUGUAGCCAGCCAGCUGCCAGCUGCCCUUGGAAAGCUCACAAAAGGGCUAUACUAGUGUUUGCUUUUGAUGAGCACAACCAAUCUCUCAAUAUCAGACAUAGAUCAAGCCCUCCCCAGCCAAUCUUUAUUUAUUUUAUUUAUUACAUUUUUAUAGCACCUCCAUCUAUUAGCCCUGGGUGGUUUAUAACAAUAAAUCAACAACAAUUGAGAAAUUAAUGCCAGCCAAUCUUGUCUGGUGGAUGCUCUUUCAGAUAUCUAUGGUCCAUUAAGGGCUUUAAAGGUAACAACAAUUAACAGGAAUCAGACCCAGAAACAAAUUAGUAGUAGGUGUGGUUCUCUGAAGAUGAGAAAAAUACACUCUCAUUGGGUGGCUCCAGAUAUAAUCCAGGCUACCAUAUUUUGUGCUAGCUGAAAUUUCAGGAUAUUCUUCAAGGGCAUUAAUCCAAAUAUGACAUGGCUAAGGCAUGGGUAACUGUGUCCAGGGAGGACAGUUCAUGUCUGUGCAAAUGUACUCCUGGCCACAAGCACUACGCAGCAUCCAGAGCAGAGCUGGAUCCAGCAGAGCCCCCAAGCUGCAAACCUGCUCCUGUAGAGGGAAUGCAGCCCCAUCUAGAACAGGUUAAGCUCCCUCACCUGAUCCAUGACUGGCUCUCCUACUGACUAACAGAAAUUUCUUUGCAGUCAAACAUGCUUCUUUAUUGCUGAGUAGAACACAUAUUGAGGCUGUUCUCAUGACCAUAUGGAGGCGGGCUGGAGGGGAGGCACAUUCCUACCCUGUGCCUCCCAGAUGACCCAAGCCCCCAGUUGGGUUUACUUACCUAACCCCCAGAUGAUCAGGCUGCAACAUGUUCCAGCAGGGAAUUAAAACUUGAUCUGGGUCCACCAGUAUCCCACAAUGCAUUGUGUGAGCAGCAGAGAGGCAUCCCUUAGUACAGCAACAGCUCUCCUCUCCCUACCCUACAGGAUCCUAUGGGGGUUUGGGGAAAAAGUUUAAAAAUUGUUUAGUAUUGCCUGCUUGUCCAUUUCUCUUGUAGGUUGGGUGGUAGGUAGCACCCAUCAUGCCCUACCACACAACCCACUUUGUUGUCCCUAGGAGCUAUGCAUGGCAAACAGUGGGGUGUUUUGAGUUGUUUGUUCCCGAUGGCUGAAGCACUCGAAACAUUUUGAGUUUGUUUAGACAAUACAGGUGAUUCGACUGCUGUUUCUACACAAUGUUUAGGCCAUUUUGCAUUUCAUUUCAAGCUCAAAACGAAAUGCAAAAUCCAUUUCAUGCGCACCCCUAAUAUUUGAAAUUAAAUUUAGCAUGAGCCGAAAACAGAGCUAUCUAAUUGUGAAUGGACUCUAAUGUACUCCCUUGUAUAGAUUUCUCUGCCUUAUGUCCUGACAAUUCUCUUCAUGUGGCAAAGAAGCAGCCAGGCACCACCACCCCCUUCACUGAACACCUAAGGUGGAAGCCCAUACAGUACAUGCCUCUCCCCUGUACACCCAGAAGAGAAGAUUCAACAUCAGAACUUGAACCAGCCAAAAAUGCGGAAGUUGCUCCCUGCAGUUCCAAAGGAAGUGACACCGUAUUCAUGUAAAUUAGAAGUAAUUUCAGACCCUUCAAAGGAUACUGUGGAGGAACAGCCCUCUAUUCCUCCUAACCUUUUUACCGCUGCCACCAAGUGGACUUCUGGUCAGCCUUCAAAAGGUUCUGUAGCAACUUCACAAGUUCAGCAAAGGACUUAGAGCAUGGCUUAUCUGGAUAUGUCAAACUGCAGAGCAAGAGGUGAAACUUGGAAAAUUAGAAUAUCGUGCAAAAGUCCAUUAAUUUCAGUAAUGCAAAUUAAAAGGUGAAACUGAUAUAUGAGACAGACGCAUUACAUGCAAAGCGAGAUAAGUCAAGCCUUAAUUUGUUAUAAUUGUGAUGAUCAUGGCGUACAGCUCAUGAAAACCCCAAAUCCACAAUCUCAGAAAAUUAGAAUAUUACAUGGAACCAAGAAGACAAGGAUUGAAGAAUAGAACAAUAUCGGACCUCUGAAAAGUAUAAGCAUGCAUAUGUAUUCAGUACUUGGUUUGGGCCCCUUUUGCAGCAGUUACUGCCUCAAUGCGGCGUGGCAUGGAUGCUAUCAGCCUGUGGCACUGAUGAGGUGUUAUGGAAGACCAGGAUGCUUCAUUAGCGGCCUUCAGCAAUUCUGCAUUGUUUGGUCUCAUGUCUCUCAUCCUUCUCUUGCAAUGCCCCAUAGAUUCUCUAUGGGGUCAGGUCAGGCGAGUUUGCUGGCCAAUCAAGCACAGUACACUGUAUACUUUUCAGAGUGGGCCGCCCACAUGGCAGCCUGCUCCGUCAUGGAGCCGGCGGGAGCUGCAGGGAUUGGGGGCUGCGUGGCCCCAUUAUCUACUUAAAAUCUGGGAUAAACUAUGUGAAAAGCAUCAAUCUUUCUAAAGCCCAGUAGUCAUUUAUGACAUGACUUUCACAAGAUCUGAAAUGUGGAAGGGCAGUAACAUCUUUAGGUGUAUUAUUUAGUAAUGCUUGGGAUAUGAAGGCCUCAUAAGAAAUGUUAUGAAACAGGGGGAAGAGGCAUAUACUUCAAAUAAUCAACACAACCUAUCCUCCCACAUAGGGCACUAUCAACAUAAUCUAUGGACUUCCCUAACCAGCCCUUGUACAGGGAUGCAUAGUCCCUGCUCCCCAGAGUUCUGGGAAAAACACACACACACACACACACACACACACACACACACACACACACACACACUGUAAACAUAAAGGGGCUCUUAGGGCAAUCAACAUGAUGUCAGAGAAACAACUGAGAUUCUGAUGGCAUUUCUGUAUUGCUUCCUGACACAGAGCCAAGUUGGACCAGCCCACUUCAGUCCUAUAUUAUUGAACUUGGCUCUGUGUCAGAUCAGCAUGUUGCCAACCAGAGAACACUGAAAAAUCCUGAGUUCACACAGCACGCUCCUCAGGAGCUUAUGUACCACUGGAAACUCCAGUUUUCAUCUAACUGACAUCAGUGUUAAUCAUGUGAAGAGCCCCAAAGAGUUUUGCUUUAAAAUUGUUAUUGAGCCAGUUCAAAUGUCAUGCAGAACUGGUUAAAUCUUGGUUCAGUGUGAUAUUCCUGAGUCUCAGGCAUGUGUAUUUCCCCUUCCCUUGUCCAUAUGAGCUUCAGCAGAUUUCUAGUUCCAGCUGUGAUUAGAAACAAAUGAAGAUAGAUUGUGCUGUCUGAACUCAUCAAUCUUAGUUUAUUCAAACCAAAGUGCUUGAAAUAAACCACAGUUUGAAACCUUGGGUUCAGAUAUUGUUUUAUUCAAAGGAAGUCGGUUAAAAUAAACUAACAUUAGUUGGUUUGUAUUUGGGCAGUGUAUAAAUGUGAUGAAUGAAUGAAUAAAUUUGAUGGUAGAAUUGUGGUGAGGCUUGGCAGACAGGGGAGGGGGCAUGUGCACUAGGGGUGUGCGAGACUCAAAUCAAGCCAGGCUCAAGGUCGAGCUGGCUCGGCUUGGAGGAGCCAUAAUAUGAAGCAUAUUUCCCAGGAAGAAAGUGGCUGUAUUCACACACACACCCCAACCCAAUCUCCUGUCUGAAUUCAGACAGAACAGGGAGCAGGGAUCCUGCAGUCAGCGAGACUGCAGAGAGGAGGGGGAACUGGCUGUGCAGGUUUCCUUCUUUCAUGAGGGACAGCCUGCAUAGCCAAUCACAGCCAGACAGAGGGAGGAGCUUCCUCCCUCAACUCUGGUUUCAGCCUGCCAUUCCACAUUUGAACAUAACACAGGCUGCAUCCAACCUCAGGUUGGGGUGGUGAGACUCACUGCAUCCUGAGGAUUCAAAUUGAAGUUUGGAGAGUGGAACCUCGGGUCAUGCUCCAUGCGAAACUGGAGUUUGGAAGGGGUGUCCUGCAUUCAAAUAUACAGGUUUGGCAACCUCUGGACCCUUCAACUCCAGUUUUGUGUUAUGUGCAAAUGCAGUAACAGUGUCAUUGAACUGAAUGAGACUUAUUUUGGAUUGAAGUUGCUUGGAAUUACCGUACGGAAUAAAAAGUGUUAGCAAAACACUUUCUCCUCACAUCCCACGUUGCACAAACUAUAUUGUAUAUGAUGAUUCAUUAUCUUAAUCUCCCUAUAAAUAUUAAGUAGAGAAAUGCCUCAACAAAAUAAUUAUAAAAUGUAAGGACUUUUUGCACCCCAAAAGUAGAUAUUAUUUCAUCAGGCCUCCCCCAGUGUUUUCUGAACUGUUUCUGCUAUCUGUAGUUUCACAGGUUUCACCUCUCUUUGCACUUAUGAUAUUUUACACUAUUUGUUUGCUGAUGCAUCUGUUUUAUUGUAUUUAUAUUGUAACUUUUCUUUGUAUUGUAUUUGUAUUGCAAUUUUCCUUUGUUAGCUGCCUUGAAUGCAACUGAAAAAAGAGGAUGUAAAUCCUUAAACGAAUAGCUACCACCAAUGGUCUAGAGAUAUCAGCAGCUAACACCUUGGAGAUAUCUGAGACAGCUUUUAUAGGCAAACUGGACAACUAAUUUAGUGCUUUAAAGGCACAGUUCAUUGACCUGCAUUGAAGAGAGUUCAAGAACUAUUUAAAAACUAUGUUCUUAUAUUGUUCGAAUGUCUGAAAUUUGGGCUGCAAUCCUAAUACUUAUUAGGAAGUAAGUAUGUUUAGUGAGACUUACUUUUGAAUAAUCAUGCUUAGAAUAGCAGUGUAAUGGCUUCUGACAUUCACCACUGAACAUUGACAAUUCCAUAAAAAUUUGUGAAUGACGCAAUUUGGAAAUCCUCCCAUGAAUGCUGAGAUGAGAUGGCCAGCAUUUGCCUGUAUAUAUUCCAAAAAGCAGGAAAACAUGGGACAAUUCAUAACAUGCAUCUGGGAUUAUCAGUAUUCAGUGGUCACAAUCAUUCAAAUCUAGGUUUAAAUUUGAUAACUGACAUUAGCAUGACUGUGAAAACCCAUGCCAAGGCAGGAAUCUCAGAUUCAUCUUGGGACACAAACCAAGCUUGUUUAUCUUGGUGGAGGUUCACGCAAUCAUGCUAAUGUUAGUUACCAACUUUAAACCUAAUUUUGACAAUUGUGUGAAUCAGGCUAUUAUGAAUAUUGUGAUUUCCUACAUUUUGGACUUUCAUUAGCAAAACUAGGUAACAGGUACAUCCUUUUAUUUUAGAUUCAUUAUCUUAAAAUUAUCACUUUCUAAUUCUGUAUAUGUAAUUAAUUGCAUUGAUUAUAGUUCAUUCCACAUAUUGAUGGGAACAUUGAAAGGAUGCAAAAAACCCACACCCAUUUACUUUCUCACCCAUCCUGAUUAUAAGUGUGAAAGGUUGGCUAAAAGGUAUAAAGGGUAAACUGAUCCAUGUGAAGUGAUCUUGAAUUUUGCUCAGUGCACAAUGGGCAAUAUGAGAGCUGGGUCUCAGUAAAAUCUAAGGGUAUAAAUACAUUGAUGGCCAUUGCUGCUGUUCAGGAAUCCAAAUGCACUUUUACUUUAAGCUAUAAACAAAUUAAAUGGUCUCUUUGUUACAGGUAAAGAAGGCUGAGUCAUUCAUUGUGUGAUAAUGUGGGUGUGUGGGAGAACUGAUUCUCCUUUGAGCCCUUGAGGCAGGGAAGGGAGAUUUUGACUUCAUCGGUGUGGUUUUGUUACUGUAGCUACAUGUUGCAAACUAUGAUCUAUAACGUAAAGCCCUUUAUGACUCUUUUUAUUAAUGUGCUCCUUUCAAAACAAAAUAGCAUAUGAACUACCCAGGUGUUGCCAUCUGGCAUGAAAAUUCGUGGUUCAGACGCUAACAUUGCUCCUGUGGUUUCAUGUAAGUCCAUUAUGGACUGAUGAAAUAUGCCAAGCUAUUAAUCAGAAAGGCUGAAGUUAAUAACCCAGCGAAUGACUCUGUAUUGUAUAUCAAAGGGAAAACAGCCCACCCAGCAUGCUUUUGCACUGGCUUGAAAUGGAGGACAGGUCUUCUCUUGAGGCAACGCCCAGUCCACUGUAUGGACUAGUGGGGAAUCCAUCUGUGAACUGGCACUGUUAUUAUGUACAUGUCAUGUGGAGAGUGGAUGAGUUGAGUCAACAUAGCACUGAACCCCAUCCAAACCCCUGUGUGGACAUGCCCUGAACCUCCUUAUUGAGGUUGCCAACAGGAGUGCCAGUUAGUGAUUGCUUCAAAUGUUUUACGAGUUCAUUGUUGAUAGGGCUAGUAGGAACCAGAUUAAGGCCAACAGUUCACUUCACCUCUUUAGUAGAAGAGUAAUUGCAUUUGCCUGGGGUUCCAUGGAAAUAGGCUAGAUCCUUCAAGUGUGACAAAGACUGUUUUCAGAACACAUGUUUAAGUGCUGGCUUCAUGGAAAUACCACAGGCUGAUUUAUCUAUGUGAGGCUGUUUUCAGAUUCCUUUUCUUCGGGGUUUCCAUUUGUAUGUGGGUUUAUGGAUGCUUUCAUAGGACUAUGAACGUGACCAAAUAGAAUGGAUAUAAUUAAACAUAAUGAGGCCAUUCACACAAUCAAAACUGUGUUCUACCCAGGUUUGAAGGCUGUGAGUACUCCCAACUUUCCGUUGUGUGGAAGCAAGGUAGGAGGAAAACUUGGGUAGAAGUGAUUGUGUGGAAGCAAAGUAGGAGGAAAAUCUGGUUAGCUUUCCCUCCUACCUUGCUUCAUGUAUUCAGUGAAUGCAUGGAAGGAAUGAGUUAAUGAGAUUAGCACAGAGAUUAGCACAGAGAAGAACACAGAAGUGAUUUUUUUUGUGUGGUGGUGGCAGCAGCAGCAACGCUGUGCUCAAAUUAUGCGAAAGCAUAAGGAAACUCUUCAUGAAAUUUGCAAGUUCCUCCCCGAUUCCCCCAAUUUUAGCCAAUCAUGCUUCCCAGUAGCUAAAGAGGGCAUCACAAAAGAUAAGGGAGCCUGUUAUCCUUCAAGUGCCCAUGUAAUUUGAGCACAGCAGCAGAGCAGAAUUUUCUGUUUUCAGUGAAGAGAAAAAAGACCCCAAUGGUUAUGUCAAAAAGUGAAAAAUUUCCAGCAGGUUCUGGAUGCUUCUGCAUCCUUUAUUCUAAGAGAAGCUCACAGACUCUCCACCCCUUAUAGCUGAAUCAGUUUCUUGAAAAUAACAAGAGAUAUUCAGAUAACUGAGUUCAGAACUUUGUAACCACUAUAUCACCAGAACUAGGCAAGGCUUCCAAAUGAACUAGUUUCCUUUCUUUGAAGCACAGGUACCAUCUCUGAUGUUGCUCAGACUUCUAUACCAUUUCUGAUGCACUGCCUAUGUCUGUCUGUAGACACAGCCUUUUAAUUUCAGUCUCAAUUCAGCCCGCUGUCCAAAAUGUAAAGCACAAACUGACAGUUCAAAGCAAGGUUAUUAGGAUAUGCAAAGAGCUAUCAUCACUACCUUGAGAGAAGAGAAGGAAUACAUAGAGCAGGUUUGGGAAAUGAGGCUAAGAGCUGGGUACAGGGACCAGAGAGAGAAAUGAGAGAAGGAUGGAGCUCCAUUAAGGUCACUCCAAUGCUCAGCCUCAAGUUCUACUUCGUGAAACACAAAGGCUGUUCUCACAACCUUUCCUGUGGAUCUGGGGAGGGCGGGGGGGGGAGCAGGAGUGCCUGCCUUCCCCACAGAUGUGUGGCAGCCAUCUUGGGCUUCACUGCAUUGCACACUCACAUGAGCGGCACCACAACAGAGUCCUGAGCUGGAAUCAGAAGGCCUCCUGCAUCCCAGUGUGCCCUGCGUGAGCAGUGGAGUGGCUGCUUUCUGCUCUGUUCUAUGUGCUCGCUGACCAAAAAGGUGACAGUGAGGGGGAAGCUCAGCUACCCCAUGAUGAUCACACACACAAUAGUCUGCUGAGAUAGAAAGAACCAUUGGUUCCUUCCACCUCAGUAAAAAGCUGGGUAGUACCCCUUCCUGAGCAGUAGUGUACUGGAGGGGCGAAGUAAAAUUAUUUUAAAUAAAUAAAUAAUAAAUAGCAAAUUCAGGCUACCCAGGACUGGAGCAGCUGGGAGCAGAGGGCCACUCCAGAUGAUAUAAGGUGCUCCAGAUGAUAUAAGGGGUAAUCCAGGGAGCUUGUGUCUUGUGAAUGGCCUCAUUUUGGUUUAUAUGAAACCUAUAUCGGUUUGAUUCAAUCUGCAGCGGCUACAUGUGGAAGCAUAUUUAUUUGAACUGUGGAAGAAUAAAUGCACACUGCAUUUAUUUAUAUAUUAGGCAGUAUAUAAAUAAAUAAACCUGUGUCCAAGCUGAGAAAGAGAAGAGAAUGAUGGUUUUAGUAUCUGUCAGAGGCGUAAAGUAAAGUUGUGCCGUCGAAUCAGUGUUGACUCCUCUUGACAACGGAACCAUGUGGUUUUCUUGGGUAGAAUACAGGAGUGGUUUACCAUUGCCAUCUCCUAUGAAGUAUGAGAUUAUGCUUUUCAGCAUAUUCCUAUAUCGCUGCUGCCUGAUAUAGGUGUUUCCCAUAGUCUGGGAAACAUACCAGCGGGGAUUUGAACCAGCAACUUCUUGCUUCCUAGGCAGCUUAUUUCCCUGCUGUGCCAUUAGGUGGCUUACCUAAGUAAUUUUGAAGUCUGGACAUAAAGGCUCCCACCCUACCACACUGCAAGAUAAUCUGCAAUGCACCAUGUUUUACACCAGAACAUGCUCAGGGAAAGGUGGAAACUUUUUAAAAAAAUAAUAAAUUCUGAAUCAGAUACUUCCACAUUUUGCAUGGAUAGUCGUGCUACUCUCCCCUCUUCCUCCCUCUCUCUGUCUAGAAUGUUCCAGCCCCAGCAAAGGCAGGAGGUAGGGAUAAACACAACGGAGAAACUCUUCUUUGGCACUUGGUAGGUGAGGCCCACGCUGCCUGGAAUAGCCAGCUGAGGCAGAAGCUGCUGUCUGCUCUGCACCUUCUCCUGGCCCCACUAUGCCGUACAUGCUGACUUCGAGGAUGGGGCCUGGCUGUCUGGCUGUCUGGAGUGAGUGAGGGAUAGGGUCAACCGGCUACCGUGCGAAUCAUGCCAUGCAUUUGGCUGCCUGGCAUGGCGUGGGCAGACUAUGGUGGCCCAGCACACUCCACACAACACAAGGAGCAUAAUUUGGGGGCCCCCAAGGCCUGCGGGGACUGGACUUCCACCUGAUAUUUGUGAUUUUAGAGAUAUAGCUCAACUGAAGAAAGUAAUGGGCAGAAUCACUGGAAGCAGAACUCUCCAAUUCUCCUAUUGUUUCGCAGAAUUCCUAGGAAUAUUCAGAAACUGGGAGUGGAAUACCUUUUGGAUACUACAAUUUUAAAAAAUCAGCUCUAAAACUGUGACUACUCUGGUGGAAUAAUCAAAUUGCUUGCCCUGUUUACUUUUGAAAGCAGUAAUUAUUGCUCACAUAAAUCAUUUGAACGCAUGCAAUCUUUUCUAUGUAUUUCCUGACACUGGCAAGCUAACAGCUUUGGUUAACAAUUCCGGAACUCCAGUAGGUUUUAUUGGUUACGGUUCUAUGUUAGAGGUAAAUAUUUGCUGUGAAGGCUAUGGAUGCGAACACAUUAUACAUUUCAAGUUUAAAUCACAAUAAAAGUCUUUGCGCAAGCUGAAGCUGAAGAGCUGCUGCUCUCUUUGAGAGAGUCCCUUAAGAUGAGGAAUCUGACUGUAAUAAUUCAACGAAUAGUGGGAGACCACAGUAAGGCUAACUCUGAACAUGGCAAUACUAGUCUGAUGUACAUGAGAGUUUGUGAAGAGUAAAACAUUUAAGGAAUUAAAAUGCAAAGGUAAGGCCAACAGUGAAGAAAAUUCCCCUGUUGCACAAUAUGUUGGCAUUUUUUCUUAUGUUAGUUUGAGCUUCAGACAGGCAGAAGAAGAAAACACAUCUAGUGCUUCUGGUAGGAUUCAGUAAGUUCCAGGCUGUCCACUGUUUCCUGACUCAUGUUGGCAAGAUGGAAUACCUUCAGCUUAAAUAUAACAUUUUUUCCACCAGCAGUGAAUAAUCUAAGAAUCUGGAUAGACACUUUACCAGUGCAGCACAACUUACUAACGACUUUCCUCAUUUUGCUAGUCAGGCACAUAAAUCUGUAACAAUGUGUGAAAAUGACAUUUAAGAGUCACAGAUUGCAGCUGCUGUGUAGAAGCAACUAGAAAAUGGAUGGCAUCCAUAGCAUAUGUCCAUUUCUGGAGUUAAAUGGCCUUAAAACAGUGGUACAUAUGCUGGUAACCUUCAGGUUUGACUACUUUAAUGCACUUUAUGUGAGGCUGCCUUUUUAUGAAGUCCGGAAACUACAAUUGAUACAGAAUGCACCGGCCAGACUGGUAUCUGGGACAGCCCGACAGGACCACAUAACACCAAUUUUUAAAGAACUGCUCUGGCUGCCAAUAAAUUUCUGGUCAAAAUAUAAAGUGCUGGUUAUUAUAAAGCCCUUACUGGCUUGGGCCCAGGGUAUUUAAGAUAGCACCUUCUUUGUCAUGAACCUUGCCACCUAUUAUGAUCUUCUGGAGAGGUCCAGUUAUGGUAGCUGCUGGCUUGUUUGUGGCAACUUGGGACGGAGCUUUCUCUGUGGCUGCCCUGGAGCUUUGGAAUAUGCAGAGGUAUAUCUAGGGAAAAUAGCGCCUAGGGCAAGCACUGAAAUUGCGCCCCCUGUCCAAACUUCUGACACCCAACUUUCAGAUAACUUUACCAUAAUAUCAGCUGAAAAAUACAAGUCAAGUUCGUUAAUCUUUUAAUAUUUUGAAAACUAUUUAGCAGUGGACUUAGCCAGACCAAAAAAUGCUGGAAAACUACAAAUUUCAGUAUGCUGUGGCUCAUGAAAUACCCAAAUACUAUGUGGAGGUGUACUUGGAAAGUAAACAGAAGUGCCUGUCUAAUUCUCUACUAUGUAUUGUAGCAUCACUAUUACAUAAGCUUUAAAAAUAAAUGGAGAAUUUGACUUUUCCCAGAUACUCUGAAAAUAAUUAAAGGAUAU
Hemicordylus capensis (graceful crag lizard) is the source of this 20778-nucleotide long non-coding RNA. RefSeq lists it as uncharacterized. Lineage: Eukaryota; Metazoa; Chordata; Lepidosauria; Squamata; Cordylidae. The transcript has 5 exons. The record is from RefSeq and is a predicted model, not a curated record.